UUUUUGUUUCUUUUCAGCCAGUUUGGGAUCAACUAUGUCCCCUUAGCUGUUCCAGGAUACCAAGUGAGCUUAAAUAGUUUGGUAGACCUUUUUUUCUAAACUGUGAACUCAGUUAAAAAAAAAAAAUAAAAGCAGGGCAGAAGCAGGAAAAUGGCUCAUCCUGUAGCUCCUGUCUUCUUCAGGAUGCUGGUGGCCUUUGAGAAGCCCAAAGUUGCACCAGUAAAGAAAUUUAACAUAUUUAUAGGUGAUGAAUGUGAUGAUUUCAAA
This 267-nucleotide long non-coding RNA is filed under the name Bos taurus (domestic cattle). RNAcentral's name for it is "long non-coding RNA NONBTAT001105". The record is from RNAcentral. Lineage: Eukaryota; Metazoa; Chordata; Mammalia; Artiodactyla; Bovidae.